AUGGGAACGCGAAGAACCUUACCUAGACUUGACAUCUCCUGAAUAGUGUAGAGAUACAUGAAGCCCUUCGGGGCAGGAAGACAGGUGGUGCAUGGUUGUCGUCAGCUCGUGUCGUGAGAUGUUGGGUUAAGUCCCGCAACGAGCGCAACCCUUAUUACUAGUUGCUACCAUUAAGUUGAGCACUCUAGUGAGACUGCCCGGGUUAACCGGGAGGAAGGCGGGGAUGACGUCAAAUCAUCAUGCCCCUUAUGUCUAGGGCAACACACGUGCUACAAUGGUGAGUACAGAUAGAUGCGAUACCGCAAGGUGGAGCCAAACUCUAAAACUCAUCCCAGUUCGGAUUGUAGGCUGCAACUCGCCUACAUGAAGUUGGAGUUGCUAGUAAUCGCGAAUCAGAAUGUCGCGGUGAAUACGUUCCCGGGUCGUUGUUACACACCG
This 438-nucleotide ribosomal RNA is filed under the name uncultured bacterium. RNAcentral's name for it is "bacterial SSU rRNA". It matches the Rfam family "Bacterial small subunit ribosomal RNA", at positions 954 to 1392 of the family's 1533-position model. The record is from RNAcentral.